Molecule: ribosomal RNA, 465 nt
Filed under: uncultured bacterium
Lineage: Bacteria
Description: partial 16S ribosomal RNA
Rfam family: Bacterial small subunit ribosomal RNA
Source: RNAcentral
GACGAACGCUGGCGGCGUGCUUAACACAUGCAACUCGUACGGUAAGGCCCUUUCGGGGGUACACGAGUGGCGAACGGGUGAGUAACACGUGAGUAACCUGCCCACAACUUUGGGAUAACGCUAGGAAACUGGUGCUAAUACUGGAUAUGUGCUCCUGCUGCAUGGUGGGGGUUGGAAAGCUCCGGCGGUUGUGGAUGGACUCGCGGCCUAUCAGCUUGUUGGUGGGGUAGUGGCCUACCAAGGCGGCGACGGGUAGCCGGCCUGAGAGGGUGACCGGCCACAUUGGGACUGAGAUACGGCCCAGACUCCUACGGGAGGCAGCAGUGGGGAAUAUUGCACAAUGGGCGCAAGCCUGAUGCAGCAACGCCGCGUGCGGGAUGACGGCCUUCGGGUUGUAAACCGCUUUCAGCAGGGACGAAGCUUUUUGUGACGGUACCUGCAGAAGAAGCACCGGCUAACUACGUG